GGGUGCUUGCUUUGGCCACACAUAUACUAAAAUUGGAACAAUACAGAGAAGAUUAGCAUGACUCCUGCAUAAGAAUGCCAUGCAAAUUCCUGAAGUAUUCCAUAUUUUU
Non-coding RNA from Canis lupus familiaris (dog), 109 nucleotides. The record is from Rfam. Lineage: Eukaryota; Metazoa; Chordata; Mammalia; Carnivora; Canidae.